RNAcentral lists this ribosomal RNA (253 nucleotides) under uncultured bacterium. RNAcentral's name for it is "partial 16S ribosomal RNA". It matches the Rfam family "Bacterial small subunit ribosomal RNA", at positions 524 to 776 of the family's 1533-position model. The record is from RNAcentral.
UACGAAGGGUGCAAGCGUUACUCGGAAUUACUGGGCGUAAAGGGUGCGUAGGUGGUUGUUUAAGUCUGUUGUGAAAGCCCCGGGCUCAACCUGGGAAUGGCAAUGGAUACUGGACAGCUAGAGUGCGGUAGAGGGUAGUGGAAUUCCCGGUGUAGCAGUGAAAUGCGUAGAUAUGCGGAGGAACACCGAUGGCGAAGGCAAUCCCCUGGACCUGUACUGACGCUCAUGCACGAAAGCGUGGGGAGCAAACAGG